RNAcentral lists this ribosomal RNA (492 nucleotides) under uncultured bacterium. RNAcentral's name for it is "partial 16S ribosomal RNA". It matches the Rfam family "Bacterial small subunit ribosomal RNA", at positions 29 to 507 of the family's 1533-position model. The record is from RNAcentral.
AUUGAACGCUGGCGGCAUGCUUUACACAUGCAAGUCGAACGGUAACAGGCCUUCGGGUGCUGACGAGUGGCGAACGGGUGAGUAAUGCAUCGGAACGUACCCAGAGGUGGGGAAUAACGCAGCGAAAGCUGUGCUAAUACCGCAUGUGAUCUGAGGAUGAAAGCGGGGGACCGAGCAGCAAUGUUUGGCCUCGCGCCUUUGGAGCGGCCGAUGUCGGAUUAGCUAGUUGGUGGGGUAAAGGCCUACCAAGGCGACGAUCCGUAGCUGGUCUGAGAGGACGACCAGCCACACUGGGACUGAGACACGGCCCAGACUCCUACGGGAGGCAGCAGUGGGGAAUUUUGGACAAUGGGCGCAAGCCUGAUCCAGCAAUGCCGCGUGCGGGAAGAAGGCCUUCGGGUUGUAAACCGCUUUUGGCAGGAACGAAACGGUGUCCGCUAAUACCGGGCGCUAAUGACGGUACCUGCAGAAUAAGCACCGGCUAACUACGUG